This 1450-nucleotide ribosomal RNA is filed under the name uncultured anaerobic ammonium-oxidizing bacterium. RNAcentral describes it as "16S ribosomal RNA". It matches the Rfam family "Bacterial small subunit ribosomal RNA". The record is from RNAcentral.
GAACGAGGAUAUAUCCUUCGGGAUAUAAGCCGAGUGGCACAAGGGUGAGCAAUGCAUAGAUUACCUACCUUUAGGAUAAGGGCAACUUUGUGAAAACGGAGCUAAUACUUAAUAAUACAAAAGAAAAUAAUUUUCUUUUGUCAAAGGGAGGGUAGCAAUACCUUUCGCCUAGAGAGGGGUUUAUGUCCUAUCAGCUUGUUGGUGGGGUAAUAGCCUACCAAGGCGAAGACGGGUAGCCGGUUUGAGAGGAUGGUCGGCCACACUGGGACUGAGACACUGCCCAGACUUCUACGGAAGGCUGCAGUCGAGAAUCUUUCGCAAUGCCCGAAAGGGUGACGAAGCGACGCCGCGUGGGUGAAGAAGGCCUUCGGGUUGUAAAGCCCUGUCAGGAGUUAUGAAAUGUAAGUGCGCUAAUAUCGUGCUUAUUUGACAAAGGCUCCAAAGGAAGCCACGGCUAACUCUGUGCCAGCAGCCGCGGUAAUACAGAGGUGGCGAGCGUUGUUCGGAAUUAUUGGGCGUAAAGAGCACGUAGGUGGGUUUGCAAGUCAGAUGUGAAAGCCUUCUGGUCAACGGAAGAAUUGCAUCUGAAACUGCUAAUCUUGAGUAUAGGAGGGGAGAAUGGAACUUCUGGUGGAGCGGUGAAAUGCGUAGAUAUCAGAAGGAACGCCGGCGGCGAAAGCGAUUCUCUGGCCUAUUACUGACACUCAGUGUGCGAAAGCUAGGGGAGCAAACGGGAUUAGAUACCCCGGUAGUCCUAGCCGUAAACGAUGGGCACUAAGUAGAGGGAAUUACCUAUAUUCUCUCUGCCGUAGCUAACGCAUUAAGUGCCCCGCCUGGGGAGUACGGCCGCAAGGCUAAAACUCAAAAGAAUUGACGGGGGCUCGCACAAGCGGUGGAGCAUGUGGCUUAAUUCGAUGCAACGCGAAAAACCUUACCGGGGCUUGACAUGAUAGAAGUAGGAACCUGAAAGGGGGACGAACGGUAUCCAGUCCGUAGCUAUUACAGGUGUUGCAUGGCUGUCGUCAGCUCGUGUCGUGAGACGUUGGGUUAAGUCCCCUAACGAGCGAAACCCUUGUUUUUAGUUACCAGCGGGUUAUGCCGGGUACUCUAGAAAGACUGCCGUCGUCAAGACGGAGGAAGGUGGGGAUGACGUCAAGUCAUCAUGGCCCUUAUGCCCCGGGCUGCACACGUGCUACAAUGGUCGGUACAGACGGAAGCGAAGCCGAGAGGUGAAGCGAAUCCUAAAAAGCCGAUCUCAGUUCGGAUUGGAGGCUGAAAUUCGCCUUCAUGAAGUUGGAAUCGCUAGUAAUCGCGGAUCAGCAAUGUCGCGGUGAAUAUGUUCCCGAGCCUUGUACACACCGCCCGUCAAGCCACCCAAGCAGGAUGCACCCGAAAACAUUAUAUCUAACCAGGGCAACUUGGAGGAAAAUGUUGAAGGAGUGUUUUGUGA